This 468-nucleotide ribosomal RNA is filed under the name uncultured bacterium. RNAcentral's name for it is "partial 16S ribosomal RNA". It matches the Rfam family "Bacterial small subunit ribosomal RNA", at positions 28 to 507 of the family's 1533-position model. The record is from RNAcentral.
GACGAACGCUGGCGGCGUGCUUAACACAUGCAAGUCGAACGGAAAGGCCCUGCUUUUGUGGGGUGCUCGAGUGGCGAACGGGUGAGUAACACGUGAGUAACCUGCCCUUGACUUUGGGAUAACUUCAGGAAACUGGGGCUAAUACCGGAUAGGAGCUCCUGCUGCAUGGUGGGGGUUGGAAAGUUUCGGCGGUUGGGGAUGGACUCGCGGCUUAUCAGCUUGUUGGUGGGGUAGUGGCUUACCAAGGCUUUGACGGGUAGCCGGCCUGAGAGGGUGACCGGCCACAUUGGGACUGAGAUACGGCCCAGACUCCUACAGGAGGCAGCAGUGAGGAAUAUUGCACAAUGGGCGGAAGCCUGAUGCAGCAACGCCGCGUGCGGGAUGACGGCCUUCGGGUUGUAAACCGCUUUCGCCUGUGACGAAGCGUGAGUGACGGUAAUGGGUAAAGAAGCACCGGCUAACUACGUG